GAUCCUGGCUCAGGAUGAACGCUAGCGACAGGCUUAACACAUGCAAGUCGAGGGGCAGCGGGGAGUAGCAAUACUUCGCCGGCGACCGGCGCACGGGUGAGUAACACGUGUGCAACCAACCCCGUACCGGGAGAUAACCCGCGGAAACGUGGACUAACAUCCCAUAAGACUCUAGAGCCGCAUGGCUUUGGAUUUAAAAUUCCGGUGGUACGGGACGGGCACGCGCGACAUUAGGUAGUUGGCGGGGUAACGGCCCACCAAGCCGACGA
RNAcentral lists this ribosomal RNA (269 nucleotides) under uncultured bacterium. Its description in RNAcentral is "partial 16S ribosomal RNA". It matches the Rfam family "Bacterial small subunit ribosomal RNA", at positions 15 to 279 of the family's 1533-position model. The record is from RNAcentral.